AGAAACUCUCAAAAAAAAAGAUGGUAUUUUUGCACUUUUGUUUUAUUUUCCUUUGGUUAAAGUUCUUACUUCUAUGUACUAAAGACGGCGACGUUUUGAACUUUGGUCUGACUUGGCUGGCAGCUAAUGGAGGCAGGAAGGACCUUCUGCAAUAUAAUUCUGGAAAUUGAUAAAACGAUGACUAGAUAAUUUUUAAUUUGAACCCAGUUCAUUCAAACUAUUUUCCUUAAUUUCCAAUAUAUCUUUUUCACUGUCUAUGGCAUUUUUUCAGCCAUUCAUUUUAUAAAGGUGAUCUAAGGUGGCAUAUUUCAAAAUUAAAGCUUUGUUGGAAAAGUUUAUUUGAAGAGUUUGCACGAAAAUUUAACUUGGGAGCCAGAGCAUCAGCAGCAGAGGCUGGGCAGAAAUAAAGGUAAUUUUUUGGACUCGACGCACACACCGAUUUCUCUGCCCAGCCUCUGCCGGUAAAUAGCCACGAGAGCGAAAAAAACCAUCCUUGCCCAUCCUUGGCUUAUAUUAUGGGACGUCCAAUUAUACUAAGACCGGGCAUUUUUGAUCGGCGAUUUUUGGUCUUGUCUUGUACACACUUGUAGUGGCCAAUCUAGGAGCCAAUAUCUGUCUCUGAAUCCAUUCAACUUUGGAGGUCAUCAAAGGCACUUAUGACUAAUUGUUAUUUUUUUUUAAAAUCCAAAUAAAUAAUUUAUGUAAA
Long non-coding RNA from Drosophila willistoni, 706 nucleotides. RefSeq lists it as uncharacterized. NCBI's taxonomy places the organism in Eukaryota, Metazoa, Arthropoda, Insecta, Diptera, Drosophilidae. The record is from RefSeq and is a predicted model, not a curated record. The transcript has 5 exons.